GGAUGCGAUCAUACCAGCACUAAAGCACCGGAUCCCAUCUGAACUCCGAAGUUAAGCGUGCUUGGGCGAGAGUAGUACUAGGACGGGUGACCUCCUGGGAAGUCCUCGUGUUGCAUUCC
RNAcentral lists this ribosomal RNA (119 nucleotides) under Aegilops tauschii subsp. strangulata. Lineage: Eukaryota; Viridiplantae; Streptophyta; Magnoliopsida; Poales; Poaceae. The record is from RNAcentral.